Molecule: non-coding RNA, 136 nt
Organism: Brachypodium distachyon (stiff brome)
Lineage: Eukaryota; Viridiplantae; Streptophyta; Magnoliopsida; Poales; Poaceae
Source: Rfam
AUGAUACUUCCUCCGUCCAGUAAAAGAUGUCUCAACUUUGACUAAAUUUGAAUGCAUCUAUACACUAAGUCAUGUCUAGAUACAUCCAAAUUUUAAAAAACUUAAAACAUCUUUUUUUGGACAGAGAGAAUAUGAU